Cajanus cajan (pigeon pea) is the source of this 1250-nucleotide non-coding RNA. The record is from RefSeq and is a predicted model, not a curated record. NCBI's taxonomy places the organism in Eukaryota, Viridiplantae, Streptophyta, Magnoliopsida, Fabales, Fabaceae.
AAGUGGCAUUAAGCCACAUUUCACGCAGCAGUAGAGCAAAAAGGAGAAAAAGGUGAGUGGGACUAAAACCCUCGCAUUAGGGUUACACAAGCCCUAUGUGGCUUCUUUGGCUCCGUAAUGGUGUCGGCCAUUGACGUUGCGAAGGGGGAAAGAAGAUGGCGGUAACGGAGUGGGUUGCGAAUAAGGAGGAGGUUCAUGGCAGCUUGACCCGCUUUGGCUUGCCGUGGCUGCGCACGACAAGUGCGUAAGGAAGAAGAUGGACACGCAUACCGCUGUCACCGAAAAUCACCUUCGGUACCGCCGUCGCCGGAAAUCGCCUCCAGUGGCGGCAAACGGCGGUGCACGGCUCACGGCGGCUUAUUCAUUUAUAUUUCCCUGUGAAGAAAACCAAAUAUCAACCAAAUGGUAUUUACCUGAAGUGGACUACAUUGGUGAAGACCAUCCCUAUGUCAUAAGAAGAAAAGAUAAAAUUAUUUACUUAAUGACAAGAAUCAACAAGAAAAUAUUUGGAAGUGACCUUUGGAAUGUUGUAAUCUUGAUUUGUAACUAUUUGUGGUUCAACAUGUGUUUGACAUGUCAAUUCUUUGAAGAAUUGAUAAUGUUAAUUUAUACUUAUAAUUAUUGGUCAUUUUAUAUUUUAUUAUAUCAAUUUUCUUUUAGCUUUUAACUAGCUCAGUCCUUAUUUUAAUGAUUUUUAGUAAUUAAUUGGAAUGCGAUUACCAUUAAUUGUACAAGAAAUGACACAUGGAAGUGAAGUAAGAAGAAUUAUUGAAGGCCAUGUCGAAGAUUACACAAUGCUAGAUGUCAUCAAUCUUGGCAAAAAAAACCUUUGUCUCGUUCUUACUGGGCGCACCUCUACCCACACUUGGCUUGACCCUUGUAGAGAAGUUUUUUUUCUUAUUUGUGUGCCUAUGCCCAAUGUAUGUUAGCCUACAUGAGGCGUCAUUUUUAUUACAUGAUACUUUUGGAACGUUUUAUUCUUCUCUUUGAUGGUUUGAGGACACUUUUCAUCAUUUUGAAGCUAGGAUGAGUUUGGAGACUUCCUAAGGCUGCUAGGGUUUUUACAUCACUUCCAAGCUCUCCUCUCCACCUUCCAUGAUCCCCUUCGUUUUCUUUUUUACACUCUUUGUGACAAUGAGGAGCUAAUUUCAUCAUUGUUGAGAUUAGAUGUAACCAACCAAACUCUCAUGUAACUUAUAUUAAUUAUAUAUGCAUGUGGGUGUGUGCACAUGUGUGUCUUUCCAUUUCAA